GCCAGUGUUACUCAGUGGUUAGAGUGUUGGUCCACACACCUAAGAGUCAUGGGUUCAAAUCCCAGUCAAGAGCA
Non-coding RNA from Myotis brandtii (Brandt's bat), 74 nucleotides. Lineage: Eukaryota; Metazoa; Chordata; Mammalia; Chiroptera; Vespertilionidae. The record is from Rfam.